Molecule: ribosomal RNA, 289 nt
Filed under: uncultured bacterium
Lineage: Bacteria
Description: partial 16S ribosomal RNA
Rfam family: Bacterial small subunit ribosomal RNA
Source: RNAcentral
AACGAACGCUGGCGGCAGGCUUAACACAUGCAAGUUGAACGAGAACGCACCUUCGGGUGUUAUUAAAGUGGCGAACGGGUGAGUAACGCGUGGGAACCAACCCUGGAGUGGGGGACAACUGCUGGAAACGGCAGCUAAUACCGCAUACGCCCUACGGGGGAAAGAUUUAUUGCUCUAGGACGGGCCCGCGUUGGAUUAGCUUGUUGGUGAGGUAAUGGCUCACCAAGGCUACGAUCUAUAGCUGGUCUGAGAGGAUGAUCAGCCACACUGGGACUGAGACACGGCCCAG